UUCACUUGAGAAAAUGCUUCCAUCAGAAUGCCUGUAGGCAAGCCUACAGGGCAUUUUCUUGACUGAUGAUUGACGUGGGAGGACCCAGCUCAUUCUUUGUGGUCCUGCCUGGGCAGGUGGUCCCGAGGUGUCUAAGAAAGCAAACCCAGAAAUCCAGGGGGAACAAGCCCGUCAGCAGCAUUCCACCAUGGCUGCUGCUUCAGUUCCUGCCUCCAGAUUCCUGUCUUGAGUUCCUGUCCUGACUUCCUUCUAUACCGGACUGUGAUGUGGAAGUGUCAGCCAAAUAAAUCCUUUCUCCCCCAAGCUGCUUUUGGUUUUUAUCACAUGCAAUAGGAAGCAACUAAUACAGCAGAGAGUUCACAUGGUCAUGGUGCCUCUUCACAGUGAUAGAACAUUGACUAAGAUGCCUCAGGAACAAGAUAAACAGGGAGGCCCUGCACUUUGUCAACCACAAUAGAUGGAGAAGGUAUAAAUGGAAUGCCAACACACCCACGCUACAACAGAUGUUAGAAAAUUUGUUAGCUUCACAGGAGAUGCUACCAUAUGGAAGAGUGAAGAGCAUCAAAACGACAUGAUGCAGAUGAGCAUAGCAAGUAGGAACCUGUAUGCUGAAGAUGAAGGAGCCACAAGAUGGAAGGAUCCUGGGCCUCUGUCACUGCUUGAAAGAAAGCUGUCCUGCUCAUUAGGGGUACC
Peromyscus maniculatus bairdii (prairie deer mouse) is the source of this 693-nucleotide non-coding RNA. Lineage: Eukaryota; Metazoa; Chordata; Mammalia; Rodentia; Cricetidae. The record is from RefSeq and is a predicted model, not a curated record.